AACGAACGCUGGCGGCAUGCCUAACACAUGCAAGUCGAACGAGACCUUCGGGUCUAGUGGCGCACGGGUGCGUAACGCGUGGGAAUCUACCCUCAGGUUCGGAAUAACUCAGAGAAAUUUGAGCUAAUACCGGAUGAUGACGUAAGUCCAAAGAUUUAUCGCCUGAGGAUGAGCCCGCGUAGGAUUAGGUAGUUGGUGAGGUAAAGGCUCACCAAGCCGACGAUCCUUUGCUGGUCUGAGAGGAUGAUCAGCCACACUGGGACUGAGACACGGCCCAGACUCCUACGGGAGGCAGCAGUGGGGAAUAUUGGACAAUGGGCGAAAGCCUGAUCCAGCAAUGCCGCGUGAGUGAUGAAGGCCUUAGGGUUGUAAAGCUCUUUUACCCGGGAUGAUAAUGACAGUACCGGGAGAAUAAGCUCCGGCUAACUCCGUG
Molecule: ribosomal RNA, 433 nt
Filed under: uncultured bacterium
Lineage: Bacteria
Description: partial 16S ribosomal RNA
Rfam family: Bacterial small subunit ribosomal RNA
Source: RNAcentral